This 579-nucleotide long non-coding RNA is filed under the name Monodelphis domestica (gray short-tailed opossum). RNAcentral's name for it is "lncRNA (ENSMODG00000045875.1)". The record is from RNAcentral. Lineage: Eukaryota; Metazoa; Chordata; Mammalia; Didelphimorphia; Didelphidae.
CUGGAGACUAUCAAGGAGGAAUGGGCAGAUUUCUAAGGAGUGUCAAAAGUUGAUACAAAUUCAAACUUACAAAAUAUUCAAUGGUUGAGGCUGCAUUUUAUGCCUUCUCUCUUGGAAAGUUUUCUUUCCCUCCCUAUAUUCUUCUUCCUUUUGGACUGCAACUGACUGGGAUUAUCACAUUGUGAUUUUCUUGGAUUGCCUGAGCGCUCAGAACUAUGGAAACUGGAAAUGUGGGACUACAUGAUCUUUGGUACUAAAGAACUAUUACAGAAAAUGCAAACUACUCUUCCCAUUCUCCCCAGCAGUAGAAGGAGGAGACAGGACAAGCCCGAACAGGCCUAGAUGGUCAGGCCUAGAGACAGGAGUUCCAAUUUGACCUCAGACAUUUUCUAACUGUGUAACUCUGGACAAAUCACUUAAUUCUCAUUGCCUAGGCCUUACCACUCUUCUGCCUUAUAACCAAUAUACGGUAUUGUUUCCAAGACAAAAGGUAAGGGAUUAAAAAAAUAGUCAUGGCAGGGGUGGCACAGCUAGUUGUCUCAGUGGAGAGGAAGUCAGGACUAAAGGUGGAGCUCAUGG